UGCGUAGGUGGUUUCUUAAGUCAGAGGUGAAAGGCUACGGCUCAACCGUAGUAAGCCUUUGAAACUGGGAAACUUGAGUGCAGGAGAGGAGAGUGGAAUUCCUAGUGUAGCGGUGAAAUGCGUAGAUAUUAGGAGGAACACCAGUUGCGAAGGCGGCUCUCUGGACUGUAACUGACACUGAGGCACGAAAGCAUGGGUAGCAAACA
Molecule: ribosomal RNA, 206 nt
Filed under: uncultured bacterium
Lineage: Bacteria
Description: partial 16S ribosomal RNA
Rfam family: Bacterial small subunit ribosomal RNA
Source: RNAcentral